Molecule: ribosomal RNA, 253 nt
Filed under: uncultured bacterium
Lineage: Bacteria
Description: partial 16S ribosomal RNA
Rfam family: Bacterial small subunit ribosomal RNA
Source: RNAcentral
UACGGAGGGGGCUAGCGUUGUUCGGAAUUACUGGGCGUAAAGCGCACGUAGGCGGCUUUGUAAGUUAGAGGUGAAAGCCCGGGGCUCAACUCCGGAAUUGCCUUUAAGACUGCAUCGCUAGAAUUGUGGAGAGGUAAGUGGAAUUCCGAGUGUAGAGGUGAAAUUCGUAGAUAUUCGGAAGAACACCAGUGGCGAAGGCGGCUCACUGGACUGGUAUUGACGCUGAGGUGCGAAAGCGUAGGGAGCAAACAGG